RNAcentral lists this ribosomal RNA (875 nucleotides) under Meloidogyne javanica (root-knot nematode). RNAcentral's name for it is "SSU rRNA". It matches the Rfam family "Eukaryotic small subunit ribosomal RNA", at positions 922 to 1823 of the family's 1831-position model. Lineage: Eukaryota; Metazoa; Nematoda; Chromadorea; Rhabditida; Meloidogynidae. The record is from RNAcentral.
GGACCGUGGCCAGACAAACUACAGUGAAAGCAUUUGCCAAGAAUGUCUUCAUUAAUCAAGAACGAAAGUCAGAGGUUCGAAGGCGAUCAGAUACCGCCCUAGUUCUGACCGUAAACGAUGCCAACUAGCGAUCCGCCGAUGGAAAUUAUAUUGCCUUGGUGGGGAGCUUCCCGGAAACGAAAGUCUUCCGGUUCCGGGGGAAGUAUGGUUGCAAAGCUGAAACUUAAAGGAAUUGACGGAAGGGCACCACCAGGAGUGGAGCCUGCGGCUUAAUUUGACUCAACACGGGGAAACUCACCCGGCCCGGACACUGUGAGGAUUGACAGAUUGAUAGCUUUUUCAUGAUUCAGUGGAUGGUGGUGCAUGGCCGUUCUUAGUUCGUGGAGUGAUUUGUCUGGUUUAUUCCGAUAACGAGCGAGACUCUAACCUACUAAAUAGCUGGUACAUAAUUUACGUGUAUACAGCUUCUUAGAGGGAUUUGCGGUGUUCAGCCGAAAGAAAUUGAGCAAUAACAGGUCUGUGAUGCCCUUAGAUGUCCGGGGCUGCACGCGCGCUACACUGGCAAAAUCAACGUGCUUGUCCUACCCCGAAAGGGGCGGGUAAACCAUUGAAAAUUUGCCGUGAUUGGGAUCGGAAAUUGCAAUUAUUUUCCGUGAACGAGGAAUUCCAAGUAAGUGCGAGUCAUCAGCUCGCGUUGAUUACGUCCCUGCCCUUUGUACACACCGCCCGUCGCUGCCCGGGACUGAGCCAUUUCGAGAAAUUUGGGGACCGUUGAUUUAAUUUUUCUAAAUUACUUUGAUGGAAACCAAUUUAAUCGCAGUGGCUUGAACCGGGCAAAAGUCGUAACAAGGUAGCUGUAGGUGAACCUGCUGCUG